RNAcentral lists this transfer RNA (56 nucleotides) under Crenidorsum turpiniae. RNAcentral's name for it is "tRNA-Ser". Lineage: Eukaryota; Metazoa; Arthropoda; Insecta; Hemiptera; Aleyrodidae. The record is from RNAcentral.
AAGUUAACUUUGGUAAUUUGAAAUUACCUAGAAAAACUAAUUAGUUUUUUAACUUU